UAAUCAUCAUAUAAUUUUUUUAAGCGAUUGCCAUAUUUUUGAAAAUUCUGGUGAAUACAAUAUAAAAGUUUCUGACGAUUAUCAUGUUUUAUGACAAAUUUUAGUGUGAUUCAUAUGAAAAAUUAAGGCGAUUGCCAUAUUUUUAUGAGAAAUCCUCUGAUGAUCACCAUAUACAAAAUUUUGUCAAUUGCCGGGAGCACUUUCCAAAAUUUUGGCGGAGGCUAUUGUUUUUCGAGACUUCUCUUACCGAGGUCAAAAAGUUAAUAGUAUCAUCGAAGUAUCCUUUUUCUGUCAUUUUCCCAAAAAAUUGACAAAAAGUAACUCUUAUAACUCUCUCUCUCUCUAUUCACUUUUUUUCUCAACUCCAACCCAGAUGUCUUCUCCAACAACCCAUAACAUUCCCAUAAUUUUUUUUAAAUAGUCCUCUAUCGGCAGAAAAAAUGACAGGCCACCGGAAAGUUUCAUUACUGGCACAUUUUCAUAUAAUGUAUAGCAUAGUGUAUAUCUUAUAUAUCAUUGUAUAUUAUCCAUCGCAUUUUCAAACAAAGUAUAUCAAAUUGUAUGUCAUGUGUAUCAUUGUAUAUCACACAUCCAACGAUGUAUAUCACGGUAUACAACGUAAUAUACAUACAUGUAUACAUGUUGAUAUGCAAAUAUACACCACCACAAGCAUCCAAUGUUUCACAUAUUCAUACAUCAUCUGCCGCAUCACCUCCACAAAAAUUCCAUGACCACCAAUCAAUCGUGACAACACAAAAACCCACUACAAUAAAAAGAUUAAAAAAAGAGGGAAGAUUUUUUUAAUUUAAAAUUUACCCUUCCCAAGACCGUGCAUGAACGCGAGUUGCCUUGUGUAUCGGGUUUCCCUUUUUGUCUCCCAAUGUCAGCAACAAUUUACAAGUUUGAUGGGGUGGAACAAUAUCUUCGAAACAAGAGAGUUCAAUUAUGGAGGGAGAGAGAAAGAAAGAGGGGGAGGGGUAGCUACAUUGACUACCUAUUUUAUAGUGGUAGCAAGUCUGAUGAUGUGGAACAAUAUGCUUAGAACAACAGAGUUCAUGUACGAAGAGAGAGAGAGAGAUGGAAUGUGAUAUAUGGAGAAUAUAUGGUAAGUUGGGUAGAUGAGACUGUAAUUUGCCAAUUAUUUUAUAAAAAAUGAUAAACCUUGCUAAUAAUUUGGAGUUGUGCUAUUUCUUGCCAAUAGAUGGACCGAGUUGUAUCUACAUGCCAAUUUGAGUUGUGUCACUAUCUAUUAAGUAAGUACAUAUUAAUAAAGUUAGAUUUCACUGUGUUUUUUGUUGUUGUUGUUGUUGUUGUUUAUUAACAAAGUCGGAGGUAUUUUCUAUCUUACACCUUCUAAUUUGUGAUGAAUUUCUACAAAUAGCAAUUCAUAAAAAUCAACCAUUGGGAGGAGCUCACAAUAAACUUGGCUAAGCUGCAAACAGUGUGAAGAUUGAAGACAUCUCAUAAGCUAGUUGAACUACAGUUAUUUUUCAGUCCGUUAUAAGUUGUACUAUGACAAUCAAUUUAUAAUUCGGUAGUUAUUUGCUGUAUUCCAUUUUGGCUUGCUUUCCUGUAAAGUCUCUCAAAAUCUUCAAAGGGUUUAAGGCUUCAAAGCACUCUAGUAAUUCAUUUACUCAUCAUUUUGCAUGCCACUGAUGGCUUCGGAAGAGAAUGACAUCAUAUGAACAUAGUUUCACGCUCAUAAGGAGGCUUGAAAGCGGAUUCGGGUUGGUAUCAUGAUAGGGUAUUCAGAAAAUUGAGUCGAAAAAAGGAUUCAGGGGUGGGAUGCCAGGGGGCUUGCGUCGCGAACCCUGGAGACGUCCCAACCCUCAGGACUGAAAUGGGAGGCAGUGAAGUCCUCCAUCCACUAUUGGAAGAUUCGUGAUUAUGCAUAUGCUUGCAGAUCUAAGCUUACAACUCCAUCUCAAGCAAGUCAUAGUUUUUUUUUUUUUUUUUUUUUUUUUUUUUUUUUUUUUUUUUUGUUUUCAUGUUUUCUAUAUAGAUAUAUUAUUGGAUAAGGUUAUGUUUACAAUUGUAUUAGUAGGUAGAAGAGCACUUUAUCUCAGCUAUAGAAGAGACUAACAAUAAGAAUCCCCUGGAACCGCUACUGAUUUAUUAUGAUUCUGAUGAAGUCAGAAGGCAAGUUGCUGCUUCCACACAAAGGUUUAAAGAAGGUACUCUGGUAUAUAUUUUUGUAAGGUUAUAUGUAGACAUGUAUGCAGUUGUGCCAUUGUAUUUCAAAAGCAUGUCAUACCUGCUAUCUGCAUUUGACUUUACUAAGCUCCAUUUCUUAGCUGUUGUGUCGCUGAAGUGAAUUACCAAUCCUGGAUGGUAUCUUUAUGGCAGUUAAGGAUGACAUUGAUUGCUAUCCACAUUCAUCAAAGGGUGGAACAACUUGGUUUCACGAGGUUCAUGAAGUAAAGAAGGAUGCUGUUUGCGUCUCAAGAUUACGAAAUUGUGAUGUACUUUUGGUUGGCAAGACAAAUAUGCAUGAAUUGGGCCUUGGAACAACUGGAAAGAAUGCGAAAUUUGGGACAAUCAGGAAUCCACAUGCUCCAUAGAGGUACACGGGCGGGUCUUCCUCAUACACGCUGGAUUAGCGCUUGACAAGGAUGAUUUUCAAGUCAACAUCAUAGCAUUAGAGUGCUUUAUAUGGGUCAAGAUCAAGCAUGUCUAUAUUAACUACUUUGGCAAUUUAGGCUAGCUUUGUAAUUUGGCUCUACUUGGCUUUCUUACUAGCUUAAGGGUAUUUUGGUUAUUUAAUCCAAAUACCAGCCUAGUAUAAAUAGUCUCUUACUCUCAUUUUGAGAGGAAGCUUAUGAUGAAUUAGCAAAUAACUUGAGAGAUUUUAGGGUAUCUUACUUUCUCUUUAUUUUAUCAUAUUUUCUUAGAUUAUUCUA
Molecule: long non-coding RNA, 2900 nt
Organism: Nicotiana tabacum (common tobacco)
Lineage: Eukaryota; Viridiplantae; Streptophyta; Magnoliopsida; Solanales; Solanaceae
Source: RefSeq, a predicted model, not a curated record